Molecule: ribosomal RNA, 273 nt
Filed under: uncultured Eubacteriales bacterium
Lineage: Bacteria; Bacillati; Bacillota; Clostridia; Eubacteriales
Description: uncultured Clostridiales bacterium partial 16S ribosomal RNA
Rfam family: Bacterial small subunit ribosomal RNA
Source: RNAcentral
AGGGAAAGAGCUUGCUCUUUCCGGAAUUGAGUGGCAAACGGGUGAGUAACACGUAAACAACCUGCCUUCAGGAUGGGGACAACAGACGGAAACGACUGCUAAUACCGCAUGAUACAUUUGGGUGGCAUCAUCUGAAUGUCAAAGAUUUAUCGCUGAAAGAUGGCCUCGCGUCUGAUUAGCUAGUUGGUGAGGUAACGGCCCACCAAGGCGACGAUCAGUAGGGGUUCUGAGAGGAAGGUCCCCACAUUGGAACUGAGACACGGUCCAAACUCC